UGUUUGAGGAUCCCCGGCGGCCUUUCCAUGCAAGUCGAACGGUAACAGGAAUUAGCUUGCUAAUUUGCUGACGAGUGGCGCACGGGUGCGUAACGCGUAUACAAUCUACCUUUUGCUGAGGGAUAGCCCAGAGAAAUUUGGAUUAAUACCUCAUGGUAUUAUUGAUAGGCAUCUAUUAAUAAUUAAAGGUUACGGCAAAAGAUGAGUAUGCGUCCCAUUAGCUAGUUGGUGAAGUAACGGUUCACCAAGGCAACGAUGGGUAGGGGUCCUGAGAGGGAGAUCCCCCACACUGGUACUGAGACACGGACCAGACUCCUACGGGAGGCAGCAGUGAGGAAUAUUGGACAAUGGGCGAGAGCCUGAUCCAGCCAUGCCGCGUGCAGGAAGACUGCCCUAUGGGUUGUAAACUGCUUUUAUA
Molecule: ribosomal RNA, 418 nt
Filed under: uncultured Bacteroidota bacterium
Lineage: Bacteria; Pseudomonadati; Bacteroidota
Description: bacterial SSU rRNA
Rfam family: Bacterial small subunit ribosomal RNA
Source: RNAcentral